Molecule: ribosomal RNA, 440 nt
Filed under: uncultured bacterium
Lineage: Bacteria
Description: partial 16S ribosomal RNA
Rfam family: Bacterial small subunit ribosomal RNA
Source: RNAcentral
CCUACGGGAUGCAGCAGUGGGGGAUAUUGCACAAUGGGGGAAACCCUGAUGCAGCGACGCCGCGUGUGGGAAGACGGUCCUCUGGAUUGUAAACCACUGUCCCCAGGGACGAAGAUGACGGUACCUGGGGAGGAAGCUCCGGCUAACUCCGUGCCAGCAGCCGCGGUAAUACGUAGGGAGCGAGCGUUGUCCGGAAUUACUGGGUGUAAAGGGAACGUAGGCGGGGAUGCAAGUUGGGUGUCAAAACUACCGGCUCAACGGGUAGUCGAACGAAAAACUGCAGCUAUUGAGUGAAGUGGAGGCAGGCGGAAUUCCUAGUGUAGCGGUGAAAUGCGUAGAUAUUAUGAGGAACACCAGUGGCGAAGGCGGCCUGCUGGGCUUUUACUGACGUUGAGGCUCGAAAGUGUGGGGAGCAAACAGGAUUAGAUACCCUGGUAGUC